GAUGAACGCUCGCGGGAGGCCUAACACAUGCAAGCCGAGCGGUAUUGUUUCUUCGGAAAUGCGAGAGCGGCGUACGGGUGCGUAACACGUGUGCAACCUGCCUUUAUCUGGGGGAUAGCCUUUCGAAAGGAAGAUUAAUACUCCAUAAUAUAUUGAACGGCAUCGUUUAAUAUUGAAAGCUCCGGCGGAUAGAGAUGGGCACGCGCAAGAUUAGCUAGUUGGUGAGGUAACGGCUCACCAAGGCGAUGAUCUUUAGGGGGCCUGAGAGGGUGAUCCCCCACACUGGUACUGAGACACGGACCAGACUCCUACGGGAGGCAGCAGUGAGGAAUAUUGGUCAAUGGGUGCAAGCCUGAACCAGCCAUCCCGCGUGAAGGACGACUGCCCUAUGGGUUGUAAACUUCUUUUGUAUAGGGAUAAACCUACCCUCGUGAGGGUAGCUGAAGGUACUAUACGAAUAAGCACCGGCUAACUCCGUG
Molecule: ribosomal RNA, 479 nt
Filed under: uncultured bacterium
Lineage: Bacteria
Description: partial 16S ribosomal RNA
Rfam family: Bacterial small subunit ribosomal RNA
Source: RNAcentral